Molecule: long non-coding RNA, 893 nt
Organism: Bemisia tabaci
Lineage: Eukaryota; Metazoa; Arthropoda; Insecta; Hemiptera; Aleyrodidae
Source: RefSeq, a predicted model, not a curated record
GACAUUUACUGAUAUAUGCGUUGAUAAAGAGAAAUAAAGCGGAAAUAGACUUAAUUUGAGUGCUUUGAAGCUUGAGUGAAGAGAGGAAAUUACUGCUCGGAAGGUUGAGAAGUGAAAAUGUAAAAGUUUAAAUGUAAAAUGUAAAAAAAAAUGUAAAAGUAAAAUGUUUUAAAAAUUGGUUAAAAAAAGAGUGGAAAGCCUUGACACGCAGAGGGAAAAAAAAAGAAGUCAGAAGAAUCAGUUUGAUAAUUAAGGCAAGAAGAUGUUGCAAAAUGGAAGAAAAAAGCGGAGAGUAUUAAAGCUUGAGUUUUGACUGGAUGAUAAAAAUGCUUCAAGUUAUCUCUUGAAGAACUAUAGUACUACCUGUUGGGCUGGUGGAGAUAAAUACUGUUCAUUGGCUUGAUUUUCCUUACCGCUGCUUGAAAGAGCUGAAGUGGAAUUCGGUCUGCGGCCAAUGAUUGCUGGGAAGCAAUCAUUGCUUCCACUUUCAACGGAUGAUAAUGCCAUCUCCAACGAUCGGCAAUGAUCAUAAUACUGUAAAAAUAAAUGUGAACGGAUAAGUAGCAGCUCUUGCCCAAAUACACAUCCAAGGCUUCAUAGAGGCCCAUCGGCGUAAUUGCUGUCCAAAGACCGUCGGUCUCAUGAUCUCUGAAGGUAACCGCUGUAUUCCAGACUCAAAAAAGAUUUUGAGCAAAGGCUUGGAAAUGAAAGAAUUAAAGUCAGUUAGAGGGCUCCGGUUCGUGCAUGGAGAAAAGCCAUUGAGGAAGUUGGCAUUCAAUUAAAAAAUGUAAAUAAAGUGGUAAUAAAGAUAAUUAUACGAAAAAAAAAUGCUUUGCAUAUGGCAAGUUCUAUGUUUAUUACUUUUCAUACAACAUACAGACAAAUGUUAUCCA